UACGGGGGGGGUAAGCGUUGUUCGGAAUUACUGGGCGUAAAGGGCUCGUAGGCGGCCAACUAAGUCAGACGUGAAAUCCCUCAGCUUAACUGGGGAACUGCGUCUGAUACUGGAUGGCUUGGAUUCGGGAGAGGAAUGCGGAAUUCCAGGUGUAGCGGUGAAAUGCGUAGAUAUCCGGAGGAACACCGAAGGCGAAGGCAAUGUCCUGGCGAGUGACUGACGCUGAGGUGCGAAAGCCAGGGGAGCGAACAGG
RNAcentral lists this ribosomal RNA (253 nucleotides) under uncultured bacterium. RNAcentral's name for it is "partial 16S ribosomal RNA". It matches the Rfam family "Bacterial small subunit ribosomal RNA", at positions 524 to 776 of the family's 1533-position model. The record is from RNAcentral.